This is a long non-coding RNA of Teleopsis dalmanni, 594 nucleotides long. RefSeq lists it as uncharacterized. The record is from RefSeq and is a predicted model, not a curated record. Lineage: Eukaryota; Metazoa; Arthropoda; Insecta; Diptera; Diopsidae. The transcript is spliced from 3 exons.
UUUAUCACUGAUUUAUAUAUUUUUUGUAUGAUGGAUGACAUUUUUGACGUUGAAAACUCUUCUAAUUCUAUGGACCAGGCUGAGAUAAGUCAAUAUGUUGAGGCGCACAGACCACUAACAUUUCAAAGCGAUACUGCGCUCAGAUUUACUGGAACCAAUUUUUAUAGGAAAAAGGAAAAUAGUACUAAAUACAAGCAUUUUACAACAGGUGUUAUCAAUAAAGGAUAUAAUAAUCUUUAUAAAAGGAGGUCUCGAAAGAAAAAUUUGAACUUACAGCAAUUAGAGUCGGGACUAUAUGUAAUAGUACGCGAUCGAAAUUCAUUUAUAGAAGAGGUCAACUUCGAUGAACGAAUGGUUUAUGUUUCAGUAGCAGAAAACGCACAAUUCGAAGAGCAGUCUUCUGAAAGCGAUGUUUGAAUAAUUCAAUAAAGUGCAUAAUUCAUUUGUAUAAGACCGCUAACAUGUGACCAUGAAAUAUACUGGAGAGACUUAAAAUCGUUAACUACUCUGACACCUAAGUAAAAUUACACGAACAUGAACUUUUGAAAAGGAUUGUGGUAUUAAGGAAACUAGGAUACUUCUGAUCUUGCUGUU